This 425-nucleotide ribosomal RNA is filed under the name Crotaphopeltis hotamboeia. Its description in RNAcentral is "partial 16S ribosomal RNA". Lineage: Eukaryota; Metazoa; Chordata; Lepidosauria; Squamata; Colubridae. The record is from RNAcentral.
UCUACUANUUNUNGACNUGNAUGAAAGGCANNNUGANNNUCUAACUGUCUCUUAUAGUCHAUCUAUUAAACUGAUCUCCUAGUAAAAAAGCUAGGAUGUAAACAUAAGACCAGAAGACCCUGUGAAGCUUAAACUAAACUAUUAAACCAUAUAAUAACUACUUUCGGUUGGGGCGACCUUGGAAAAAARAAGAACUUCCAAACAUAUGACCUUCAUCAUACUAAAUGGCACACAAGCCAACGAACGACCCAGCACAGCUGACUAAUGAACCAAGUUACUCCAGGGAUAACAGCGCAAUCCUCUUCAAGAGCCCAUAUCAAAAAGAGGGUUUACGACCUCGAUGUUGGAUCAGGACAUCCUAAUGGUGCAGUCGCUAUUAAGGGUUCGUUUGUUCAACGAUUAACAGUCCUACGUGAUCUGAGUUC